CUUCAGAUGAAGAUGUAGACCUCUGAGAGAUUCCUCCACAUGCCUGUCUGGACGCUGCCAUGCUCCUGCUAUGAUGACAAUGGACUGAACCUCUGAACUGCCUAGCUGCUGUGUAGCAAUUUCCUCUCAGCUGAAACAUUCCAUCUGAGAAAGAGACUCCUUAAAACGGACUCAGAAAGCACGUAACCCCAGAUUCAGCAAGUCCCUCCGUCCUCAAGGCUGUAUAAGCAGAAAGGGGAAAGGUCUGCCCCUGGAGCAGGAGCCCAAAUAAAGGCCAGGAUUCUGCUGUGCUCGCGGAAGAAAGAGCUGACUUCCCCAUUUGGCAUGGAAAAUUGCGGUAUUCGGAAUGUCUGUGCUCCCAACAUGCUCCUGCCUGGAAAACCUGACUCUCAAAAGGAUGGAUUAGGAGGUGGAGCUGUUGUGACAUUGAAUCAGGUGGUGAAUGGCACCAGUGAUGAGAGCUGUGUGCUGUGUGUGUGCUGUGUGCUGUGUGUGUGUGUGUGUGUGUGUGUGUGUGUGUGUGUGUGUGUGUGUGUGUGUGUGUAUGAAAGGACUCAGGGAGAAGUUCGUCAUUUGCAAGCCAGAAAGAGUCCUCAUCAUGAACUGGCUCUGCCAGUAUCUUGAGCUGUUGAACUGUGAAGAAUAAAUACCUUUCUGUUGGUUAAACUUA
Molecule: small RNA, 670 nt
Filed under: Rattus norvegicus (Norway rat)
Lineage: Eukaryota; Metazoa; Chordata; Mammalia; Rodentia; Muridae
Description: uncharacterized LOC102549122
Source: RNAcentral